AUUGAACGCUGGCGGUAUGCUUAACACAUGCAAGUCGAACGAUGAGAAAGAGCUUGCUCUUUCGAUUAGUGGCGGACGGGUGCGUAACGCGUAGGAAUCUACCUAUUAGUGGGGGACAACUUAGGGAAACUUAAGCUAAUACCGCAUACGCCCUACGGGGAAAGAAGGGGAUCGCAAGACCUUUUGCUAAUAGAUGAGCCUGCGUAGGAUUAGCUAGUUGGUGGGGUAAGAGCUCACCAAGGCGACGAUCCUUAACUGGUUUGAGAGAAUGAUCAGUCACACUGGAACUGAGACACGGUCCAGACUCCUACGGGAGGCAGCAGUGGGGAAUAUUGGACAAUGGGCGAAAGCCUGAUCCAGCAAUACCGCGUGUGUGAAGAAGGCCUUAGGGUUGUAAAGCACUUUCAAUUGGAAGGAAAACCUCGAAGCUAAUACCUUCGAGUUUGACAUUACCUUUAGAAGAAGCACCGGCUAACUCCGUGCCAGCCGCCGCGGUAA
RNAcentral lists this ribosomal RNA (498 nucleotides) under uncultured bacterium. Its description in RNAcentral is "partial 16S ribosomal RNA". It matches the Rfam family "Bacterial small subunit ribosomal RNA", at positions 30 to 523 of the family's 1533-position model. The record is from RNAcentral.